CUUUAACGCUUUAGAGAGAGAGACAGAAGAAACGCGAACCAGAGAAGAAUAACGCGAACGAAGACGAAGCAGCGAGAAGAACGACGACGAACGAAGAGGAUAAAACCCAACGCGACGAACGAAGACGAAUGAAGACCCAACGACUGAAGGCUUUGGUGCCACUGUGAAUGUUGCCAAAACACUAACGGGCUCAACUGUGGCUAUUUUUGGAUUGGGAGCAGUAGGCCUAGCGGUGAGUUUCAAUCCACAGUAUUUUGUGGUAUCCUUGGAAGGGAGCACACUGGAACAGACCAAUCCUCUGAUGAUGUUCAGGAUUUUCAAGUUCUCGAAGAAUUUUCCAAUAGUUUUGUGCGCUGGGUGACUUUUGGAGAGACACUCAGCUAUUGAGUAUUGACUUGAUUUCCCUUGCAUUGGUUACUCAUUCCAUCUUGCUCAACCCUGACUUAUACUGAGGAUUUCAAUUCUUGAGGGGGAACACAGAGCAUAGGGGCAAUGGUGGAAAAAGAGAAUUGAAAGAAGCCUGUGGUGAAGGCAGUUCCUUUGCUGGAUUGUUUCCUAGGAGAGCAAACUAGACCUUGAUGCAAAGUUGAUGAGAGAGUAAAUAGCCAACAGUUUUUAAGAUUCUUUUAGAAGCACUUCUUGUCUUAAUUUCUUUCUCUUCAGAAGUUUAUAUGGACUUGGUAGUUUUUCAUGUUGUAAAUAUACACUAGUAUAUAGUAAACUCAUAGACAUACUGAGACAGGGCGAAAGAGUUGUGAUAUCAUUUUUUGAGUUUUUCUUCCCAA
Rhododendron vialii is the source of this 785-nucleotide long non-coding RNA. RefSeq lists it as uncharacterized. Lineage: Eukaryota; Viridiplantae; Streptophyta; Magnoliopsida; Ericales; Ericaceae. The record is from RefSeq and is a predicted model, not a curated record. The transcript has 3 exons.